This 492-nucleotide ribosomal RNA is filed under the name uncultured bacterium. RNAcentral describes it as "partial 16S ribosomal RNA". It matches the Rfam family "Bacterial small subunit ribosomal RNA", at positions 29 to 507 of the family's 1533-position model. The record is from RNAcentral.
AGUGAACGCUGGCGGUAGGCCUAACACAUGCAAGUCGAACGGCAGCACAGUAAGAGCUUGCUCUUACGGGUGGCGAGUGGCGGACGGGUGAGGAAUACAUCGGAAUCUACUUUUUCGUGGGGGAUAACGUAGGGAAACUUACGCUAAUACCGCAUACGACCUACGGGUGAAAGCAGGGGAUCUUCGGACCUUGCGCGAUUGAAUGAGCCGAUGUCGGAUUAGCUAGUUGGCGGGGUAAAGGCCCACCAAGGCGACGAUCCGUAGCUGGUCUGAGAGGAUGAUCGGCCACACUGGAACUGGGACACGGUCCAGGCUCCUACGGGAGGCAGCAGUGGGGAAUAUUAGACAGUGGGCGCGAGCCUGAUCCAGCCAUACCGCGUGGGUUAAGAAGGCCUUCGGGUUGUAAAGCCCUUUUGUUGGUAAAGAAAAGCAGCAGGUUAAUACCCCGCUGUUCUGACGGUACCCAAAGAAUAAGCACCGGCUAACUUCGUU